AUUAUGGCUCAGGAUGAACGCUGGCGGUAUGCUUAACACAUGCAAGUCGAGCGGGAAUCUUAGGAUUCUAGUGGCGGACGGGUGAGUAACGCGUGAGAAUUUGGCUUCAGGUCGGGGACAACAGUUGGAAACGACUGCUAAUACCGGAUAUGCCGGAAGGUGAAAGAUUUAUUGCCUGAAGAUAAGCUCGCGUCUGAUUAGCUAGUUGGUGGGGUAAGAGCCUACCAAGGCGACGAUCAGUAGCUGGUCUGAGAGGAUGAUCAGCCACACUGGGACUGAGACACGGCCCAGACUCCUACGGGAGGCAGCAGUGGGGAAUUUUCCGCAAUGGGCGAAAGCCUGACGGAGCAAUACCGCGUGAGGGAGGAAGGCUCUUGGGUCGUAAACCUCUUUUCUCAGGGAAGAAAAAAAUGACGGUACCUGAGGAAUAAGCAUCGGCUAACUCCGUGCCAGCAGCCGCGGUAAUACGGAGGAUGCAAGCGUUAUCCGGAAUGAUUGGGCGUAAAGGGUCUGUAGGUGGUGCUGUAAGUCUGCUGUUAAAGAGUCACGCUCAACGCGAUAAAAGCGGUGGAAACUACAGGACUAGAGUGCGGUCGGGGCAGAAGGAAUUCCUGGUGUAGCGGUGAAAUGCGUAGAUAUCAGGAAGAACACCGGUGGCGAAAGCGUUCUGCUAGUCCGCAACUGACACUGAGGGACGAAAGCUAGGGGAGCGAAUGGGAUUAGAUACCCCAGUAGUCCUAGCCGUAAACGAUGGAUACUAGGCGUGGCUUGUAUCGACCCGAGCCGUGCCGGAGCUAACGCGUUAAGUAUCCCGCCUGGGGAGUACGCACGCAAGUGUGAAA
Molecule: ribosomal RNA, 842 nt
Filed under: uncultured bacterium
Lineage: Bacteria
Description: bacterial SSU rRNA
Rfam family: Bacterial small subunit ribosomal RNA
Source: RNAcentral